UUUUCAGAUUGGAUAAUUUCUAUUGAUGUGCCUUCACAUUCACUGAAUACUCCCUCUGUCAUCUCCAAUCUGCAGUGGAGUCCAUCCAUUGAGAGCCAUCUGUGAAGUUAAUUUCAGCACUGUUUACUCUUUCCUCCUAAAUCACUAAUGAAGAUGAAACAUUCAAUGGAAUUGAGCUUUGCAGCCCUUUCUGGGAAAUUCCACCGAGGCUUGCUCUUGUUCCAGUUUUCAAGCAGCGAAAACAGUUUGUGGCAAUUUGCAAGACUCUGGCAAACCACCUGCACCUUUCAAACUAAAGAUUUUGAACUGUUUGGUCUCCUUGUAAGUUUAGAAACAAUAUCAGUUAAAAUCAAUUUGGCUGAAAAUGACAGAUACCUUGAGACAUAAUAUUAAAUUAAAGAUAAUAGAUAAAAGUUUAUUUCUCCCUCACAUAAACAUAUUUAAUCCAAAGAGGACAAGCAGUUGUAUGAUC
This is a long non-coding RNA of Pan troglodytes (chimpanzee), 472 nucleotides long. RefSeq lists it as uncharacterized. The transcript has 3 exons. The record is from RefSeq and is a predicted model, not a curated record. NCBI's taxonomy places the organism in Eukaryota, Metazoa, Chordata, Mammalia, Primates, Hominidae.